UCUCCAAGUUACCUCUACCCUCGUGGCUGC
RNAcentral lists this non-coding RNA (30 nucleotides) under Macaca fascicularis (crab-eating macaque). RNAcentral also lists the same sequence under 1 other name. Lineage: Eukaryota; Metazoa; Chordata; Mammalia; Primates; Cercopithecidae. The record is from RNAcentral.